Molecule: long non-coding RNA, 696 nt
Filed under: Apteryx rowi (Okarito brown kiwi)
Lineage: Eukaryota; Metazoa; Chordata; Aves; Apterygiformes; Apterygidae
Description: lncRNA (ENSARWG00000016250.1)
Source: RNAcentral
GACACAGAAAGAUCUCUAUAAGAGCUAAGCCACCGUUGUGCUGCCUCCCCAGCUAGUUCUGCAAACCAGCUUUCUGCCUGUGUGAGCACAGACCCAACAAAGGAAUUGCUUGAAACUGGAAAUUCUUGCACCACUCCCUUUCCAGCGUGUCUCCUGAUGCUGACUAGUCGCCACCAUGCCCUCCAUCCUGAAGUGCAUCUGAGGGCAUUUCUAACUCAAUAUUGGAGUUCUUUAAAGAAGUACAUUCAUCACAGGACUUGCAUUUAUCUUUGGUGGUUCUCCCUUCCUCCCUGUCCCUCUGGUGAUAACAUUGGCUUCCAUAUUACACGUGUGGGACUGCAGCAGCUGAAAGCAGGGCUGGGGGAUUCCUCGUGUGCAUCCAUCAUCUCUAAAUGCCUCUCUGCAUCCUGGUCUGAAUUCAGCAGCAAGUACAAGCAGCCUGGCUCGCCGACAGCAGGUUGGACUUCCCUGGCAGUCGGGGCUUGCGGGCAAGCUCUUCCCAGCUCAAAAAUGAGACUUAAGCCAGGUCUUGAGCCUGUGUUCAGAGGGAGUAUAGGGCGCACAGCACCUUGCAGGAUGGGGCCCACCACUGUGCUCUGUGUAGUUCUCCCCUUCCCCCUCCCCAGCUCUGCUUUAGCAAUAACCUACUUUCUUGCUUUGUGGAAAGAACAGCUUGGAUUACGUUGCUACAAAUGA